AUUGUGUGGUUGUAAAGGGUGUGAUUUCAUGGACUGUCGCAGGGUUCAGAAGUUUGCAUGUGAGGCUUUUCAAUGUUGGUGUUUUUGGCAGUUUUUCUGGGAUUUAUAUUGUUCAUGUCGGUAUCGGAAUUGUGUCGUGUCGACCGAGGUUGGGAGUUGUGUCGUGAAAUGGGUUUUGGCCAUAUCGUCCAGCCCUAGUGUGGGGGUUGUGAAGUUAGGAACACAUGUCUACGUGAUCCAAAAGUUUAAGGCCUCCAUUGUAGUGUGAUGUUAAACUUUAGAAAUACUGUAUGUGCUCCCCUCUGUAGUUGAUAGUGAAUUGGAGAAAGCUAAAAGGUUGAAAAAAUUUACUUUUAAAAGGGUUUUAAUAUCUGCUGAAAAUGAUUUAGCUCUGACACAGAUUAUAGUCCAACAUAAGAAGCCAUUUGUUUAAGCGUGAAUUCUGCCCCCGCUGAAAAUCACACGCACACACCCACUGAGGAGAAACAGGAAGUAACCAAUUCAGCACAGAUGGCGCUGCCCGACACAGCUGUGCUGGGCUGCGCCCCUCCCUAUAUGUAGUGUCAGCCAUUUCUGAGCAGACGGCUACCUCCCUCCCGUCUCUCACUCUCACACAUACCUCAAAUACCACACCCAGCGCUCCUGUUUUACAGCACACACAAACGCAGACUGGUAUGAAUCCGGUGCGUGUUAUGUUUUCUGAUAAUGAGCAUCAGAGUGAACAAGGUAAAGACAUACACACAUCACAUGUGACAUUAAAGGUGCUAAGUGGGGUUUUACAUGCUAAAUCAGAAGAAGAUCGGGGCCAGUGAUAGCUUGGUGGUUAAGGUACUGGACUGGUAAGCAGAAGGCUGCCAGUUCAAGCCCCGCCACCACCAAGUUGCCACUGUUGGGUCCCUGAGCAAGGCCCUUAACCCUCAAUUGCUUAUCGUGUUCCGCUCAUUGUGUAAGUCGCUUUGGAUAAAAGCGUCUGCUAAAUGCUUAAAAUGUAAAUGUAAAUCAGAAGAAGAAGAGGAGGAAGAUAUUGGAAGUGAAGGUAGCAGCUGGAGGAGAGCAAGUAGGGGAAGAAAACAAGGUAAAAUGCAAGGUAGGGUUGUUAGGCCUACAAUUAGGGCCAGUAACAGUAGAGAAGGUGUAUUAAUUACUGGUGAGGAUCUGGAUGUGGAAUGGAAGGAAGGGAAAGACAGUAGAAGCAGAAAAGUGAAGUGGGAAAGGAAAGGAAAGUUGAGUAAAAAUGAAGCCUUUGACAGAUAUGAGAGGGACUUGAGACGGUUAUCAAAUCAGCUAGAAACUUCAAGGGCUGAGUUUGACAUAAGGAUGGGAACAGGUGAGACUGGCCAUGAAGAGCCAAAAUGCACUAAAACUGGUAGCCCUGUGUCUAGCUGUCUUACUGACACAGAACCUUUUGAGCAGUAACACCGUGUUGAUUCAAUAUGUUGAUGACUUGCUAAUUGCUUGUACUUCUGAAGAGCUCUGGUUACAGGAUACUAUUACCAUUCUUACUCAUCUGGCGAACUUAGGAUACAAAGUCAACAAAGCCAAACUGCAGAUAUGCCGACCUGUCGUGACAUUUCUGGGAUGGAGGGUUUCCAGCAAGGGUCACUCCCUGACUGCUGACACCAGAGGUUGCAUCCUGAAUCACCCGAAGCCAACUACCAUAAAUGUGCUGCCUCUGGUGACUCCAAUGAAAAGAAAGUGGAACUACAAUUCAGUACUGAGUCUGAUUUCACCCAUCUGAUCUACACCAGCUUCACCUGAUGGUUUUGGAAACAUACCAGACCCAACAGAUCCUGCUGUGUAUCUGAUACCCACUGCCAGAUAAAACCACAAACACAGAAUUAAAUAUUAGUUCUUACUUGUAUAAUUAUAAGAACUAUCUACAUAUUCAUAAAAUCAGAAAUAAACUAUUAAACUAAAUAGAAACUGGUUUCUGUUCUCCUGAAUGACCCAGGUGGAUCUGGCUGGUACAUAGCUCUGCCGUGUCCUUAUCACGUGUAUUUGUUCUUUAUUUGUGAUAAUCAGACUGGUUUUCUCUGUAAUUUUUCUUGCUUAUACAGCCCCCUCCUCAAUUACUGGCACUCCUGGUACAGAUGAAUAAAAAUAGUUAUACGAA
Molecule: long non-coding RNA, 2113 nt
Organism: Trichomycterus rosablanca
Lineage: Eukaryota; Metazoa; Chordata; Actinopteri; Siluriformes; Trichomycteridae
Exons: 3
Source: RefSeq, a predicted model, not a curated record